This 737-nucleotide ribosomal RNA is filed under the name Plesiomonas shigelloides. RNAcentral describes it as "bacterial SSU rRNA". It matches the Rfam family "Bacterial small subunit ribosomal RNA", at positions 60 to 786 of the family's 1533-position model. The record is from RNAcentral. Lineage: Bacteria; Pseudomonadati; Pseudomonadota; Gammaproteobacteria; Enterobacterales; Enterobacteriaceae.
AGUCGAGCGGUAACACAGAGGAGCUUGCUCCUUGGGUGACGAGCGGCGGACGGGUGAGUAAUGCCUGGGGAUCUGCCCGAUAGAGGGGGAUAACUACGGGAAACUGUAGCUAAUACCGCAUAAUGUCUACGGACCAAAGUGGGGGCUCUUCGGACCUCAUGCUAUCGGAUGAACCCAGGUGGGAUUAGCUAGUUGGUGAGGUAAUGGCUCACCAAGGCGACGAUCUCUAACUGGUUUGAGAGAAUGACCAGUCACACUGGAACUGAGACACGGUCCAGACUCCUACGGGAGGCAGCAGUGGGGAAUAUUGCACAAUGGGCGCAAGCCUGAUGCAGCCAUGCCGCGUGUGUGAAGAAGGCCUUCGGGUUGUAAAGCACUUUCAGCGGGGAGGAAGGGUCACUAGUUAAUACCUAGUGGCAUUGACGUUACUCGCAGAAGAAGCACCGGCUAACUCCGUGCCAGCAGCCGCGGUAAUACGGAGGGUGCAAGCGUUAAUCGGAAUUACUGGGCGUAAAGCGCACGCAGGCGGUUUGUUAAGUCAGAUGUGAAAUCCCCGAGCUCAACUUGGGAACUGCAUUUGAAACUGGCAAGCUAGAGUCUUGUAGAGGGGGGUAGAAUUCCAGGUGUAGCGGUGAAAUGCGUAGAGAUCUGGAGGAAUACCGGUGGCGAAGGCGGCCCCCUGGACAAAGACUGACGCUCAGGUGCGAAAGCGUGGGGAGCAAACAGGAUUAGAUACC